This 253-nucleotide ribosomal RNA is filed under the name uncultured bacterium. RNAcentral describes it as "partial 16S ribosomal RNA". It matches the Rfam family "Bacterial small subunit ribosomal RNA", at positions 524 to 776 of the family's 1533-position model. The record is from RNAcentral.
UACGAACUGUGCAAACGUUAUUCGGAAUCACUGGGCUUAAAGGGUGCGUAGGCGGCUUGUUAAGUAGGGUGUGAAAUCCCCCGGCUCAACCGGGGAGUUGCGCCCUAAACUGGCGAGCUGGAGUGAGAUAGGGGUGUGUGGAACUUCCAGUGGAGCGGUGAAAUGUGUUGAUAUUGGAAGGAACGCCAGUGGCGAAAGCGACACACUGGGUCUCAACUGACGCUGAGGCACGAAAGCCAGGGGAGCAAACGGG